Molecule: ribosomal RNA, 2902 nt
Filed under: Escherichia coli
Lineage: Bacteria; Pseudomonadati; Pseudomonadota; Gammaproteobacteria; Enterobacterales; Enterobacteriaceae
Description: bacterial LSU rRNA
Rfam family: Bacterial large subunit ribosomal RNA
Source: RNAcentral
UUAAGCGACUAAGCGUACACGGUGGAUGCCCUGGCAGUCAGAGGCGAUGAAGGACGUGCUAAUCUGCGAUAAGCGUCGGUAAGGUGAUAUGAACCGUUAUAACCGGCGAUUUCCGAAUGGGGAAACCCAGUGUGUUUCGACACACUAUCAUUAACUGAAUCCAUAGGUUAAUGAGGCGAACCGGGGGAACUGAAACAUCUAAGUACCCCGAGGAAAAGAAAUCAACCGAGAUUCCCCCAGUAGCGGCGAGCGAACGGGGAGCAGCCCAGAGCCUGAAUCAGUGUGUGUGUUAGUGGAAGCGUCUGGAAAGGCGCGCGAUACAGGGUGACAGCCCCGUACACAAAAAUGCACAUGCUGUGAGCUCGAUGAGUAGGGCGGGACACGUGGUAUCCUGUCUGAAUAUGGGGGGACCAUCCUCCAAGGCUAAAUACUCCUGACUGACCGAUAGUGAACCAGUACCGUGAGGGAAAGGCGAAAAGAACCCCGGCGAGGGGAGUGAAAAAGAACCUGAAACCGUGUACGUACAAGCAGUGGGAGCACGCUUAGGCGUGUGACUGCGUACCUUUUGUAUAAUGGGUCAGCGACUUAUAUUCUGUAGCAAGGUUAACCGAAUAGGGGAGCCGAAGGGAAACCGAGUCUUAACUGGGCGUUAAGUUGCAGGGUAUAGACCCGAAACCCGGUGAUCUAGCCAUGGGCAGGUUGAAGGUUGGGUAACACUAACUGGAGGACCGAACCGACUAAUGUUGAAAAAUUAGCGGAUGACUUGUGGCUGGGGGUGAAAGGCCAAUCAAACCGGGAGAUAGCUGGUUCUCCCCGAAAGCUAUUUAGGUAGCGCCUCGUGAACUCAUCUCCGGGGGUAGAGCACUGUUUCGGCAAGGGGGUCAUCCCGACUUACCAACCCGAUGCAAACUGCGAAUACCGGAGAAUGUUAUCACGGGAGACACACGGCGGGUGCUAACGUCCGUCGUGAAGAGGGAAACAACCCAGACCGCCAGCUAAGGUCCCAAAGUCAUGGUUAAGUGGGAAACGAUGUGGGAAGGCCCAGACAGCCAGGAUGUUGGCUUAGAAGCAGCCAUCAUUUAAAGAAAGCGUAAUAGCUCACUGGUCGAGUCGGCCUGCGCGGAAGAUGUAACGGGGCUAAACCAUGCACCGAAGCUGCGGCAGCGACGCUUAUGCGUUGUUGGGUAGGGGAGCGUUCUGUAAGCCUGUGAAGGUGUACUGUGAGGUAUGCUGGAGGUAUCAGAAGUGCGAAUGCUGACAUAAGUAACGAUAAAGCGGGUGAAAAGCCCGCUCGCCGGAAGACCAAGGGUUCCUGUCCAACGUUAAUCGGGGCAGGGUGAGUCGACCCCUAAGGCGAGGCCGAAAGGCGUAGUCGAUGGGAAACAGGUUAAUAUUCCUGUACUUGGUGUUACUGCGAAGGGGGGACGGAGAAGGCUAUGUUGACCGGGCGACGGUUGUCCCGGUUUAAGCGUGUAGGCUGGUUUUCCAGGCAAAUCCGGAAAAUCAAGGCUGAGGCGUGAUGACGAGGCACUACGGUGCUGAAGCAACAAAUGCCCUGCUUCCAGGAAAAGCCUCUAAGCAUCAGGUAACAUCAAAUCGUACCCCAAACCGACACAGGUGGUCAGGUAGAGAAUACCAAGGCGCUUGAGAGAACUCGGGUGAAGGAACUAGGCAAAAUGGUGCCGUAACUUCGGGAGAAGGCACGCUGAUAUGUAGGUGAAGUCCCUCGCGGAUGGAGCUGAAAUCAGUCGAAGAUACCAGCUGGCUGCAACUGUUUAUUAAAAACACAGCACUGUGCAAACACGAAAGUGGACGUAUACGGUGUGACGCCUGCCCGGUGCCGGAAGGUUAAUUGAUGGGGUUAGCGCAAGCGAAGCUCUUGAUCGAAGCCCCGGUAAACGGCGGCCGUAACUAUAACGGUCCUAAGGUAGCGAAAUUCCUUGUCGGGUAAGUUCCGACCUGCACGAAUGGCGUAAUGAUGGCCAGGCUGUCUCCACCCGAGACUCAGUGAAAUUGAACUCGCUGUGAAGAUGCAGUGUACCCGCGGCAAGACGGAAAGACCCCGUGAACCUUUACUAUAGCUUGACACUGAACAUUGAGCCUUGAUGUGUAGGAUAGGUGGGAGGCUUAGAAGUGUGGACGCCAGUCUGCAUGGAGCCGACCUUGAAAUACCACCCUUUAAUGUUUGAUGUUCUAACGUUGACCCGUAAUCCGGGUUGCGGACAGUGUCUGGUGGGUAGUUUGACUGGGGCGGUCUCCUCCUAAAGAGUAACGGAGGAGCACGAAGGUUGGCUAAUCCUGGUCGGACAUCAGGAGGUUAGUGCAAUGGCAUAAGCCAGCUUGACUGCGAGCGUGACGGCGCGAGCAGGUGCGAAAGCAGGUCAUAGUGAUCCGGUGGUUCUGAAUGGAAGGGCCAUCGCUCAACGGAUAAAAGGUACUCCGGGGAUAACAGGCUGAUACCGCCCAAGAGUUCAUAUCGACGGCGGUGUUUGGCACCUCGAUGUCGGCUCAUCACAUCCUGGGGCUGAAGUAGGUCCCAAGGGUAUGGCUGUUCGCCAUUUAAAGUGGUACGCGAGCUGGGUUUAGAACGUCGUGAGACAGUUCGGUCCCUAUCUGCCGUGGGCGCUGGAGAACUGAGGGGGGCUGCUCCUAGUACGAGAGGACCGGAGUGGACGCAUCACUGGUGUUCGGGUUGUCAUGCCAAUGGCACUGCCCGGUAGCUAAAUGCGGAAGAGAUAAGUGCUGAAAGCAUCUAAGCACGAAACUUGCCCCGAGAUGAGUUCUCCCUGACUCCUUGAGAGUCCUGAAGGAACGUUGAAGACGACGACGUUGAUAGGCCGGGUGUGUAAGCGCAGCGAUGCGUUGAGCUAACCGGUACUAAUGAACCGUGAGGCUUAACCUU